UAUUUCAACAUUCAGACGCAUUUAAAUACACUUAACCAUAGAGCUCCUAAAUGCCCUUUCCUCACCCACAGUCAUCAACAUACUUCCCAAGACAUUGCAUGACCAGUGGCAUAAACUCCAUACUGGGCCCCUCACUCAUGAUUUGGAGAGCGUCUGUCAUAUUUUUUCACUCUCUGUUUUUUCUCACUUCUGAUGUGGAUUAAAGUCUGUGCUCACAGCUCUCUCCAAUAGUUUGAGGAUAUUUGAUCCUUGAGUAUUUAUCCAUUAUUGGCUCUGUUUACCCAAGGGAAAAUUAAGUGCAGGGCCUUAGAACAGUGAGCGCUUUAAUACACGGAUGCAUAUGCUGAUCUCUGACAGAUGUUGGUCUUUGGGAACAACAGAAGGGUAGCUACGUCAUUCGCUUGGGAAGCUGCUUGUGCAAACUGAUCCUGCAGGUGCCCAGGCAGCGUGGCGAGAGCAGCCUGCAGUGCUGAGAAAAAUGUCUGGUGCAGUGACAACUCCCGAAAUAUUACGGUUUUUCACACACAUCCCCCAGCCAGCUGGCAGAGGAUUCUGAACAGUGCCUUGAGCCUCUUGGAAACAAAGUGUCAUCUUGGUGAACAUGCCACUUUUCUAUUGCCCUGAGUCAGUAUGUGUGAGGAGCAAGCCUGCGCCACUGUCCUGAAAGGAUGCUGAGACCCAGGCCGUCUUAUUCUCCUCAGAACGCCUCACUGUAGGCCUUGGAAAUGCAAUCCUUAUGGAGCAUAUGCUCGAUUACCUUCACAGAGGAUCAAGACUGUACUCCUAUUCCCAUAUUUCAAAUGAUAAUUUUUCUUGAUUAUGUGUGAAAUACGCUUAUCUGUGGAGGCCUGGAUCAGUUAUGACUGUGCCCACAGUUCACAUCUGCAGGAGGAAACUCUUUGUGCCAGGGCCGCAUGGUAUGAAAACAUCUGUAAAAAGUUGAUUGUACCCAUGGUGUUUCUUUAUUGUUUUUCAAGAACAGAAGAUUCUGGAGAAAUAAAAUCAGCUGAAGCAUUAUGGGUAGAAAAAGACCAAAGGAGAAUCGCAACAGAACUGGCAGAGACUGAAUAA
Molecule: long non-coding RNA, 1071 nt
Filed under: Vulpes vulpes (red fox)
Lineage: Eukaryota; Metazoa; Chordata; Mammalia; Carnivora; Canidae
Description: lncRNA (ENSVVUG00000019084.1)
Source: RNAcentral